CACUAAUUCAUUGAGAUUCAUGUUUUCAAAAUUCUAAUCCUCCUUUUUCCACCUCCCACCUCUUCAUCUUCCUUCUUCCUUCUUCCGUAUUUUCUUCUUCGUUUUGUUUUUCUUCCUUCUUCCUUUUUUUCAUUUUUUAGACAGAUUCAAGACGAUGCCUCUUUGUUCAUUUGACGGAUCUAUGAUCGGAAGCGUCGUUGACGGAUCUAUAUCUGCGACGAUGCCUCUUUGUCAAGAGAAACCAACCGAGAUUGCGUCCAUAGGUUUGCUUUAACCAAUUAAAUGCAAAAAUCCAUAGAUCAGUUCUUAAAUCAAUGUCGAUCUUCUUGGGUAAGGAAACCCUAACCUAAUCUGCUUUCAACCCUUUUUCUGGGUUUUGAUUUUGUAGUUAGGGGUUUUACAGUCCAAGGCUCAGAAGGAGUGUUAGCCUAAAAGUUCGAUUUAUGGCUGAGAUAAUUAUGGUUUAUCAAACUUAUUUUAAGGUUAUAUGUAUACUAUUUGCUUAUGCAUAUGAAAUGUGGUUAUGAUUUAAGAAUUGUUGGUUGCUAAUUAUUACUUAUUACAUCCCUGUUGUUUUCAAGCUUACGUGAAUUUGAGCUUUUUUACUAUCCAAACUGAACAUACCCGCUUUGUUUUUGUUAUAAAAGUAAUUAUGUAUGGUUAUUGAUAUUUUGUGGUUGAUUUGAUAAUUUUGAGGUUUAUUUUUCAGGAUUUAGACUUGAUAGAGUUUUACCGCUGACUUUUGAAUCUAACAAGAGGAUUAAGUGAAAGAAAGAGCAAAAAGAGAUGCAGCAGCUGCUAGCAAUGGAGGGAAUACUCAUGGAAAGGAUUGUGUAUGAAGUGAUGGCCUCUUAUCGUAUUAGAAGUGAAUUUGAAUUGUGACAUAGAUAGCAGUGACUUGGUUCUGAAAUUGCAUAUGUUUGGUGGAUCUCAUCUCAAGUUAUCUGAGUUGUUUUCAGCAAAACUAAUUCAUCUCUGGUUGGAUCUAAGCUUGGUGUUCAAAGGAACUCAAACAUUGUGAGCAGAAGGAAGUUUUCAUCUGGUUGCUGGAACUGUUGGUUUAAUGAGUGUACCAGUCAUGGGAAUCUCAACGCGUUCGCAAGCCACAACUAAGAGUGUAUACAAUGCUGCCUUGGCCUUAGGAAUUGCAAAUCAGCUAACCAACAUACUCAGAGAUGUCGGAGAGGAUUAACUUAUUCACUUAAGAUCAUCCAAGAUGAACUGCGUUUGACAUCGAAAAUAACUGUAGAUGAUUGUUUUGUAGAUGAUUGUUUUGACAUUGAAAUGGCAGUUGGAAAGUCUCACAGUUUCAGGAUGUCGGAGUCUCUAAAGCCUUCACCGGCUAAGAAGCCUUGCAAAUAUCGAAGCAGGGAAAAUCGUCAGGAAGAUCCUAUUCCAGUGAAGUUAUGGAACAAGAAAUUUGGAAAGAUUUUCCUGAAGAUUUAUUUGAGGCGGUAAUUGCACAGCUUCAUAUUGCCACUUUUUUCUGCUUCCGUUAUGUAUGUCGUGCAUGCAUCUGUCAUGCUCACUAAUUCUAGCUUUCGCAGUUUGCCCAACUUCCUUAAUUUCACGGUUAUUCACAUUUAUAUUUCCACAUCACAACAGGAAUUCAAAUGGGUAAACUUUGAUAUAAACAUGUUGCUGAAGUUGCUGAAGGUUUUGAAGUCAUUGUUUUACAGAUUUGAGAGAGAUUUUUGUUAAAAUUCUAUAAAUUUAAUGCAAAUUAAUUUAUUUUAUUGGUUGUUAA
This is a long non-coding RNA of Vicia villosa (hairy vetch), 1747 nucleotides long. RefSeq lists it as uncharacterized. The record is from RefSeq and is a predicted model, not a curated record. Lineage: Eukaryota; Viridiplantae; Streptophyta; Magnoliopsida; Fabales; Fabaceae. The transcript is spliced from 6 exons.